Molecule: long non-coding RNA, 722 nt
Filed under: Elaeis guineensis (African oil palm)
Lineage: Eukaryota; Viridiplantae; Streptophyta; Magnoliopsida; Arecales; Arecaceae
Description: long non-coding RNA (EGUI_LNC030277)
Source: RNAcentral
UAAUUUGAAUGAUAAUCUCAUUUUGCUCUCUUAAAUGAAGACGAUUAUAGAAAAUGAUGAUCGAUGACUCACCCGAUAAGGUCACGUCUGGGAGAUGGCACAGGGCUUGAGAAAAUAUGCCACAUGGGCUUAUUCUGCUUUACGAAGCAUCGCAGAAAUUUAUUUUCACUUCGAAGAAAGUGCAUCAUUAACUGCUUAGCCAUUAACUCCUGGGAAGCGUUGAUUGGUGAUUGAUGUGGCUGCUAGCACUUAUAAAUAGGGAACCAAAGAGCAAAGGGAUCUUCACUUCUCCUUCUAUGGCAGGAAGUCUUGUUUUUCGAUUGUUGUUAUAUCGUUGCCUUCGAAUCUGCCAUCUUUAGUGCAAAUCAAGCAACGGAUGAGAGAGCGGAAUGAUUUUGCAAGAAAUGCCCAUCGAAGGCAUGUUGCUCAUGAAAGGGAGAGAGUUAUGCCGAUCGGUGCAUCCUCUUCUCAUGGGGUCCCCCUUUCUCCCAGAGAUGCCGCUCCAAGGAUGACGCCGGCAUCACCGUCACCACCUUCUCCACCUGAGCACAUCCCGCCAGCAGUUCAGGAGUGCUGUAUUAUGAAAUUUUGAAAUUCUACGAUGUUUAGGAGGGAAUUGCUUGAUGUUGCCACCGCCACCUUGAUCUAGUGCUUCGAUAAUUGCAAGGCCCGUUUGCAGAAGAUAAUGAUGUAUCUAGAACUUCACGGUAUAUAGACUGGCG